AACGCGAAGAACCUUACCUAGGCUUGACAUGCAUCUCUAAGCGCGUGAAAGCGCGUGACCCUUCGGGGGAUUUGCACAGGUGCUGCAUGGCCGUCGUCAGCUCGUGUCGUGAGAUGUUGGGUUAAGUCCCGCAACGAGCGCAACCCUUGUGAUUAGUUGCCAUCGGGUCAUGCCGGGAACUCUAAUCAGACUGCCCAGAUCAACUGGGAGGAAGGUGGGGACGACGUCAGGUCAGUAUGGCCCUUACGCCUAGGGCUGCACACGUACUACAAUGCCCAGUACAAUGAGAACCGAUACCGCGAGGUGGAGGAAAUCUGUAAAACUGGGCCCAGUUCGGAUUGGAGGCUGCAACUCGCCUCCAUGAAGUUGGAAUCGCUAGUAAUGGCGCAUCAUCUACGGCGCCGUGAAUACGUUCCCGGGNNNNGNNCACACCG
RNAcentral lists this ribosomal RNA (434 nucleotides) under uncultured Luteolibacter sp. Its description in RNAcentral is "bacterial SSU rRNA". It matches the Rfam family "Bacterial small subunit ribosomal RNA", at positions 958 to 1392 of the family's 1533-position model. Lineage: Bacteria; Pseudomonadati; Verrucomicrobiota; Verrucomicrobiia; Verrucomicrobiales; Verrucomicrobiaceae. The record is from RNAcentral.